RNAcentral lists this ribosomal RNA (253 nucleotides) under uncultured bacterium. Its description in RNAcentral is "partial 16S ribosomal RNA". It matches the Rfam family "Bacterial small subunit ribosomal RNA", at positions 524 to 776 of the family's 1533-position model. The record is from RNAcentral.
UACAGAGGGUGCAAGCGUUAAUCGGAAUUACUGGGCGUAAAGCGUGCGUAGACGGUUAUUUAAGUCAGGUGUGAAAGCCCCGGGCUCAACCUGGGAAUUGCAUUUGAGACUGAAUAGCUAGGCUGCGGAAGAGGGAAGCGGAAUUUCCGGUGUAGCGGUGAAAUGCGUAGAUAUCGGAAGGAACACCAGUGGCGAAAGCGGCUUCCUGGUCCAGCACCGACGUUCAGGCACGAAAGCGUGGGGAGCAAACAGG